This 3322-nucleotide long non-coding RNA is filed under the name Aquilegia coerulea. Its description in RNAcentral is "long non-coding RNA (ACOE_LNC000228)". Lineage: Eukaryota; Viridiplantae; Streptophyta; Magnoliopsida; Ranunculales; Ranunculaceae. The record is from RNAcentral.
UUCGGCUCGGAUAACGUCGAAUACAAUUGUUUCACCUCUGGUUUAAUCUUACCAUAUUCCUUCAAAGCUCUACAGACCUUGCAUUAUCUGACUAAUUUCUUUGAGACUGAAAAACAAAACCAAAAAAUAAAACAGAACACAAAGAUAUACAUGAAAGAUAAUAUAUAUAUAUAUUUGAAUAAAAUUACUUUUGAGAGAGUUGCUUUAACUGACCUACAUUCAAAGAUAUACCAACUGAGAACUGCUUUAAUAUACAUCAAGGAUCUGUUUGUCUUCAUUUGAAGAAAUACAUUGGGACUACCCCAAUUUUCUCAUGAGCAGGCUACACAUAUGAAAUAUAAAUAAAUAAAGUUAAGAAAAACUGCAACCGUUUGAAAACUAGAAUAAAGAAUCAAAACAGGAUAUACAACAAAACAAUCUGACCAACAGUUUGAUCAGACCAGCAAUGGUGUGACUCAGCAAAAUUAUUUGUUUUCCAUAAGUAUAACAAAUAUAAUACUUAGAAACGUCUCUACAAGCCAAUCCAAAUAGACGUGCACAGAAGUUUUACCUGAUCAUCCAGCCCUGGUCUCCGUAGUGACUGUUGAAUAAAUACACACCAACAAUCAGAUCACUCAGAUAAAUGUAAGGUACCUGAUUGCUUUUCAGAAUGUUGGUAUCGUGUAUUCUUAUAUGUUAACAGGGGAUCUUGAUAACCUGAUUCCAUAUUCAACUUUAACCCGUCUUCUUCUAUUUGUUGCAUCCACAACCUCUGAAAAAUUCCUGAUAGACAGAAAAAAAGUAAGACUAAGCAUGUAUAAUGUAACAUAAAUUGAGUCUUGACAGGAGCUACUUUUUGCAAUUUUAACAAAUUAUUACGUAGGACAAAUGAUCAUGAACCUUUUUGCUGCUGGUAUUAACAGAUACAUACAACAAACAUACAUACAUGUAGAAAAUAUAGAUAACUUCAUGGCUCUUAAUGUCUUAGGGCAUCUCUAAUGGUUCGGCAAAUUUGGUGGUCCACGUAUACAGAUUUGAUGAUAUUUUGAUGAAAGUUUUGAUUCAAAAAUGUGCUCCUUCUAAUGGUUCGGCAAAUUAAAGCGGCUAAUGGAUGACCACUUUACUAAAGAGACUAAAGCGGGCCUAUGGACACCGCUUGAAUGUAAUGGGGCGGCCUUAGAGUGCCACUUCACCCAAUGGUUAAGUGAGGCGGGUAACAAUGUGCCACUUAAACCACCGUUUUGUUUAAAGCGGGCAUCCAAGAGCCACAUUAGUGAGGCGGGUAAUAAAGUGCCGCUUUAAGUGGAUGUCCAAGUGCCACUUAGUUAAAAAAAAAAAAAAAAAAGUGCCACUUAGUUAAAACGGCCUUUCAAGUGCCACUUGAAGCGGCACUUCAUUAGCCGCUUUAAGUGAAGCGACCUUCUCUUGCCCGCCUCAACCCAUCAUCAAAUUUGUUGUUUUUCAUCAAAAUUUCACCAAAUUUGAUGAUUUUUUGAUGAUUAUUGGUGAAAUAUCAAAUUUGAUGAACUUUUGAUGACCAUUAGAUGAAGUUUUUCUCACUUUCUCAUCAAAUUUGAGUUUGGUGACAGAUUUGAUGAACCAUUAGAGAUGCCCUUAGUAUUCCAAAUGACCAGCCCCAAUUCACAUGGCCCUUACAGUAUACGUGGACUGUGGGCCAAUCUAAACAAAUAGAAGAAGGGAAAACAAUAUCCCAGAAAAAAAAUUUUGAGAAAAUAAAACAAAUGGGAGUACAGCCAACAGUCUAACAAACAGAGGAACGGCAAAUAAGAUGAAAUUGGCAGCGGUAAUGCCUCAAUACUAACAAGUAAGAUAAACUGGUUUAGUAUACUAUUGAGCAUAGCUUCAUUUGAAUUGAGAAUUUCUCAUGCUUAUGAUCACCGUAUUAGAUCGUUCAUGUAGUUUUGUACACUUCAACAGGAUUUAGAAACUACUAUAAGAAUGUAAAUGUCACUUACAUAAAGCUAGAUAUGGCAUUGGAUUUCAACCUGCCUUGUAAAUAUUGCUUGCCCGAAACAGAUUACAGGUGCUUGAGGUUCUGUAGAAUAUUAGAAACAAAUCAAUUUUAAGAAACUCUUGCAACAUACAAUUAAAAAAACGUAAAUUAACAGAAGCAUAAAAAGCAGUAUAAUCAACAAUUUUGUUUUCUGAUUUUGUUUUUUACUAAAUGGACAAACAUCUGCCAUUUAUCGAAGAGUCGAUAUCACUGCUUGGUUGAAGAAUUUUGGACUCUAUAUAUACCUUUGCUAAAUACAUGCCAAAGUAUAAGAAAAAUAGUACCUAGUAGUUUGUAAAUACAUAAGCCAUAAGGUAUCCUCAGCUGUAAGAAAAUGUGACUUCACUGAAAAUGUCUCAAACUAUGGCUCAGUGCCAAAGACAGUAAGAUAAAUAUAAGAGUAGUAAGAAAAUCAUAUCAACACAAAAAUGCAAAAAGACAAACAAAAACAAAGCCAAGAGUUUAGACCUCAUCAAUGAUUUACUCUGUUGCAUGCUACUUACUGUUUUGUAAUUACAUCCAAUAAGAUAUGUAACAUGAAAAUAUAUAAUACUCUAUCCAAAUCCAUGAUGGAGGAAAUUAGCCCUGUGGGACAUUAGGACUUACUAGUAUUUCACACAAGAAAAAUCAGCCAGUUCACCUUUUCUCCAAAUAAUCAUUUGGAUGUUCAGAUGACUAAUUAACAGUUUGAAUAUGAAGUAAGAACUUGUAUACAAGUAUUCCACUACUCAGUAAUAAAGAAAACCCUAAUAAUAACAAACACCAGUCCAACACCAUUAAUAAAUCACACAAAAAACAUGCAAUAAAGAAAAGUACAAACUUAAUAAGUUCUUUCUUCAAACUUAAAUCACACAAAAAACUUACAAAAAAAAAAAAAAAAACUAUUCAAUCUUUUCUACAUAACUAAGAACAAACAGUUUAUUAAUCUAUAAAAGAAAUUAAUAAUUAACAAAAAUUCAAAUUAAAGAAUGAAAAUCAACAAAGUAAUGAUCGAAAGCAGAAGAAUAUAUCAAAUUGAAGAAGAUCAGAUCAAAAUCUUACCUUAAUCAAAUUGAAGCAACCAAGAAGAAGAUGGGGGUGGAUAACGAAAGAAUUAACAACAAUUCGAUCGAAAGCGUUGGAACUUCUUCUUCUAGUAAUAAGAAGAUUGAAAUCUCUGGAAAGUAUGAAGAAGAAGAUGAUGAAGAAGAUGUUUGUAGAAUAAAAAAACCUUUUCUCUUCGAAAGACGGGGAGAGAGUUGGAGAAGAACAAACUUUUCUCUUCGAAAUUAAAUUGAGAUAACUCUUGAUAAUCCUAGAGAUCUGAUAUAACAAUCUAGUGGUUGUAAA